RNAcentral lists this ribosomal RNA (491 nucleotides) under uncultured bacterium. RNAcentral describes it as "partial 16S ribosomal RNA". It matches the Rfam family "Bacterial small subunit ribosomal RNA", at positions 28 to 507 of the family's 1533-position model. The record is from RNAcentral.
GAUGAACGCUGGCUACAGGCUUAACACAUGCCAGUCGAGGGGAAACGACGGGGAAGCUUGCUUCCCCGGGCGUCGACCGGCGCACGGGUGAGUAACGCGUAUCCAACCUGCCUCUGACUGAGGGAUAACCCGUCGAAAGUCGGCCUAAUACCUCAUGGCAUCGUCUGCGGGCAUCCAACGACGAUUAAAGAUUUCAUCGGUCAGGGAUGGGGAUGCGUCUGAUUAGCUUGUUGGCGGGGUAACGGCCCACCAAGGCUACGAUCAGUAGGGGUUCUGAGAGGAAGGUCCCCCACAUUGGAACUGAGACACGGUCCAAACUCCUACGGGAGGCAGCAGUGAGGAAUAUUGGUCAAUGGGCGGGAGCCUGAACCAGCCAAGUAGCGUGCAGGAUGACGGCCCUAUGGGUUGUAAACUGCUUUUAGGCGGGGAUAAAGUGAGGGACGUGUCCUUCAUUGCAGGUACCGCAUGAAUAAGGACCGGCUAAUUCCGUG